Molecule: long non-coding RNA, 1619 nt
Organism: Bactrocera dorsalis (oriental fruit fly)
Lineage: Eukaryota; Metazoa; Arthropoda; Insecta; Diptera; Tephritidae
Exons: 2
Source: RefSeq, a predicted model, not a curated record
AGAUGUAAAAAUUUUUAAAUUAUCAGAAGAAUAUUUUCAAAGAAAAGAAGUAAUAUAAAGAAGGAUAAAAAAAUGUUUGAAUCAUAAAGAGAAUAAUUUAAUCAAAAGAAGUUUUUAAAAAAAGAAAAUGUAAAAACUUUUUCCAGAAGAAUAAUUUCAAAGAAACAAUUUGCUAAGAAGAAUUUGAACCAAAUUAAAAUUAAUCUAAAAGAACAAACAAAACGAAUUUGUAAAGAAAAAGAGAAGUACAGCAUUGUAAAAGUAAAAAUAAUUUGCUAAGGAAAACUCGAAUCAAAUCUAUAAUUAAAAUUAAUAUAAAUACUACUUCUAAGAUAAUUUUAUAUUGCCAAAGUUAUAAGUAUACCCUUACAUAAUGUUAAUACUAAGAUGGACUUAAACGAAAUAACGACUUUAACUGUCACCGGACUGAGAGAAAAGUUGAGGGAAUUGGGUAUUUCGGCUACAGGUCAAAAACGUGAUCUUCAGGAAAGACUUAUCCAACACUACGACUUAUCGGGAAAUAGGGCUAGUGACGAAGAGUUCAACCAGUCAGUUUACGAAGACGUAGGUGGAACCACCAACUUACGGUCCUCACCGUUUAUCGUGCAACAACAACAGUUUACUCUAAAAGAUUUAGGAGAUUGUGUUAACGUGUUUUCAGGAAAAGGGUCUGUAGAUAUUCGAGGGAGGGUAAGCGAAUUUGAAAAUAAUGCAGAAAUAGUAAAAUGGAAUGAUCUUCAGAGAUUUGUUUAUGGCAAACAGCUUCUUCGUGGUGCCGCUAAGCUUUUUGUUAGGAGUCAGAAUAAUUUAAAUAGUUGGGCCUAUUCUGUAUCUCGAUUCGAAAAUGAAUUUGCUCGAAUUCGAAUUUUUUGUAUUCGGUAACUCUAUUUUCGGAUUUUCAAUCUGUAUUUCGAAAAGUGAAUCCGAAUUAAGAAAAUUUGCAACUAUGUAAUUCGAAUUUGAUUGUCAAAUGUAUUCGAGUUUCGUAUAAAAUAUUCGUUAGCUUAUGAGUUGUAGGAUAAAGACGUUUUAAAAAAUGUAAGUAUUUUAAUAAGUUUUAUUGCAUAUUAUACUAUAGAUAAGUUUAAAAAAAAUAUAAUUUUUAAUAGGGACUCGGUUUGCAAAAGUCAGCACACUAAACAAAGCCAAUUUGAAAUAAUGGUGGAGUGUGUGGAAGCACAUCCAAACUUGGCCAAAGACUACGUAAAAUGUGCCGACGCUAAACAAACAAGUAAACAUUUGUGGGAGCGGUUGAGUGAAAAAUUAAAUGGAGAUGGACCACCCAUACGGGACAUGCUUUCGUGGAAAAAGGUUUGGGCAGAUUACAAAACCAACAUUAAGGCCAAAGCUCGAAAAAAUAAGUUGCAUAUGUCGGGGACAGGUGGUGGGCCUGCAAAAGUUUAUUCAUUCAAUGCAGUUGAAUUAGGAGCAUUUGAUUUACUGCAGAUAAACCAAGCGGUAGAUGGGAUGGUAGAUGCUCAAAAGUUCGGUGCGGGAACAAGUGAAGUCACACAAAGCUACCAUUGUGAAACCACGGAUCCAAGCACUCAUAAUAACAUAAGUGAUUUACAAAAUUUAGAGGAACUGCCACCUUUUACACCACCUUAUCGCCCCAAACG